UAGCCUUCCGAUUACUUCUUCGGUUGUCAUUGUCUCUAGGUCUCCAAAUUGCUCAAGUGUUGAAGCAAUUUGAAGGAACUUGGUCGAGACUGCCCUUAGCAGUUUCUUAACAACGUAGGAUUCAGUCAUUGUGUCCCCCAAUGUUCGCAUGGUGCUCACGAUGUUGCUUACUUUCGCAGCAAACUCAUUAACUCCUUCUGAUUCUUUCAUGUUUAAGGAUUCAAACUCAGCCUUCAAUGUUUGAAUCCUCGCUGCUUUGACUCGGUCUGCCCCCAUGAACAUUGUCUUCAGUGCCUCCCAAGCUUCUUUGGCUGCUUUCUUCUCAGCCAAGGACAAUAGCAAAUCCUCUGGUAUCCCUUGAUAGAUAGCAGCCAAAGCCAUCUUAUCCUUCUUUACUUCAACAGCAGUGUUUGAAGUCCUGGGUUCCACUGCAUCCCAGACUCCUUGGGCCUGCAUGAAAACUCUCAUCUUUAUGGCCCAUGCAGAGUAAUUGCUUCUUGACAACAUCGGAUAAUGAAAGGUGAUUUGUCCUUCUUUCUCUCCAUUUCCAUUGCCUCCUGACAUCUCUUCACGAGACUGAUACUUUGGCAUGCAACUACCAGGCUUUGCUCUGAUACCAAAUGUUGG
RNAcentral lists this long non-coding RNA (627 nucleotides) under Lactuca sativa (garden lettuce). Its description in RNAcentral is "long non-coding RNA (LSAT_LNC005717)". The record is from RNAcentral. Lineage: Eukaryota; Viridiplantae; Streptophyta; Magnoliopsida; Asterales; Asteraceae.